GCAAGUCGAAUGUCUUCUUCGGAAGGCAUGGCAAACGGGAGAGUAACACAUUGAUAACGUACCUCGAAGACGGGCAUAACUCUGCGAAAGCGGAGAUAAUACCCGAUGUGAUUGAAUCACACAUGUGAUUUAAUUAAAGCUCCGGCGCUUCGAGAGCGGUCUAUGGCCUAUCAGCUUGUUGGUGAGGUAAAAGCCCACCAAGGCUACGACGGGUACCGGGUGUGAGAGCAUGGCC
RNAcentral lists this ribosomal RNA (235 nucleotides) under uncultured bacterium. RNAcentral's name for it is "partial 16S ribosomal RNA". It matches the Rfam family "Bacterial small subunit ribosomal RNA", at positions 57 to 305 of the family's 1533-position model. The record is from RNAcentral.